This 573-nucleotide ribosomal RNA is filed under the name Streptomyces halstedii. RNAcentral's name for it is "bacterial SSU rRNA". It matches the Rfam family "Bacterial small subunit ribosomal RNA", at positions 120 to 705 of the family's 1533-position model. The record is from RNAcentral. Lineage: Bacteria; Bacillati; Actinomycetota; Actinomycetes; Kitasatosporales; Streptomycetaceae.
GGCAAUNUGCCCUUCACUNUGGGACAAGCCCUGGAAACGGGGUCUAAUACCGGAUAACACUCUGUACCGCAUGGGACGGGGUUAAAAGCUCCGGCGGUGAAGGAUGAGCCCGCGGCCUAUCAGCUUGUUGGUGGGGUGAUGGCCUACCAAGGCGACGACGGGUAGCCGGCCUGAGAGGGCGACCGGCCACACUGGGACUGAGACACGGCCCAGACUCCUACGGGAGGCAGCAGUGGGGAAUAUUGCACAAUGGGCGAAAGCCUGAUGCAGCGACGCCGCGUGAGGGAUGACGGCCUUCGGGUUGUAAACCUCUUUCAGCAGGGAAGAAGCGAAAGUGACGGUACCUGCAGAAGAAGCACCGGCUAACUACGUGCCAGCAGCCGCGGUAAUACGUAGGGUGCGAGCGUUGUCCGGAAUUAUUGGGCGUAAAGAGCUCGUAGGCGGCUUGUCACGUCGGAUGUGAAAGCCCGGGGCUUAACCCCGGGUCNNCAUUCGAUACGGGCUAGCUAGAGUGUGGUAGGGGAGAUCGGAAUUCCUGGUGUAGCGGUGAAAUGCNAAANNAUAUCAGGAGGA